Styela clava is the source of this 277-nucleotide non-coding RNA. Lineage: Eukaryota; Metazoa; Chordata; Ascidiacea; Stolidobranchia; Styelidae. The record is from RefSeq and is a predicted model, not a curated record.
CUAGAAUUUUGGAACCUGUCGCCCGCAUUUCUACGAAUACAUUUACUUUGGAAAAAGUCAAUUUUUACAAUUGAUAAAAGUUCAACAAUGAAAAACACAACUUUCUUUUUCCAUAUAAUUGGACUUCUGUUCAUUAUGUGUAUAUUCUUUAUGCAAGUCCAUGCGAUUGAUCUUCCUGGUGCACCAGGCGACAAUCAACGACCAAGCUCCGAGAAUUUUGGUGAAGAGCAUGUAAAUUGAAGUUUGAUGAAAAAUAAAAAAUUACUUUUAAGAAAAA